AAGGCGACGAUCAGUAGCUGGUCUGAGAGGAUGAUCAGCCACAUUGGGACUGAGACACGGCCCAAACUCCUACGGGAGGCAGCAGUGGGGAAUAUUGGACAAUGGGCGCAAGCCUGAUCCAGCCAUGCCGCGUGAGUGAUGAAGGCCUUAGGGUUGUAAAGCUCUUUUGUCCGGGAAGAUAAUGACUGUACCGGAAGAAUAAGCCCCGGCUAACUUCGUGCCAGCAGCCGCGGUAAUACGAAGGGGGCUAGCGUUGCUCGGAAUCACUGGGCGUAAAGGGCGCGUAGGCGGACUCUUAAGUCGGGGGUGAAAGCCCAGGGCUCAACCCUGGAAUUGCCUUCGAUACUGAGAGUCUUGAGUUCGGAAGAGGUUGGUGGAACUGCGAGUGUAGAGGUGAAAUUCGUAGAUAUUCGCAAGAACACCAGUGGCGAAGGCGGCCAACUGGUCCGAUACUGACGCUGAGGCGCGAAAGCGUGGGGAGCAAACAGGAUUAGAUACCCUGGUAGUCCACGCCGUAAACGA
This 522-nucleotide ribosomal RNA is filed under the name Allobosea sp. RNAcentral's name for it is "bacterial SSU rRNA". It matches the Rfam family "Bacterial small subunit ribosomal RNA", at positions 270 to 809 of the family's 1533-position model. The record is from RNAcentral. Lineage: Bacteria; Pseudomonadati; Pseudomonadota; Alphaproteobacteria; Hyphomicrobiales; Alloboseaceae.